RNAcentral lists this ribosomal RNA (206 nucleotides) under uncultured bacterium. RNAcentral's name for it is "partial 16S ribosomal RNA". It matches the Rfam family "Bacterial small subunit ribosomal RNA", at positions 568 to 774 of the family's 1533-position model. The record is from RNAcentral.
UACGUAGGUGGCCUUUUAAGCGUAGGGUAUAAGGCAAUGGCUCAACCAUUGUUCGCCCUAUGAACUGGAAGGCUUGAGUGCAGGAGAGGAAAGCGGAAUUCCUAGUGUAGCGGUGGAAUGCAUAGAUAUUAGGAGGAACAUCAGCGGCGAAGGCGGCUUUCUGGACUGCAACUGACACUGAGGUACGAAAGCGUGGGGAGCAAACA